AUGGGAGCAGAAAGUGAAAAGAAGGAAAAUCACGAAAAAGAGACGCCAAUCGCUUCUCCAACUACUCUCACACAAGAUCAGUUCCUCUCAUGGAAGCGACACAAGGAUGCUGCUGAGUCAGCCAGAAAAGCUGAAGCCUCCAGGAAGCGGGCAGAGGAUAUUGCUGCUGGAACCGUCCAAAUGAACGGCCGGGAGCUGUUUCUGCAUGAACCAUGGGUGUUUGAUGACUCACGUUUUUGA
Vicia faba (fava bean) is the source of this 240-nucleotide non-coding RNA. Lineage: Eukaryota; Viridiplantae; Streptophyta; Magnoliopsida; Fabales; Fabaceae. The record is from the annotation of a GenBank genome assembly.